This 468-nucleotide ribosomal RNA is filed under the name uncultured bacterium. RNAcentral's name for it is "partial 16S ribosomal RNA". It matches the Rfam family "Bacterial small subunit ribosomal RNA", at positions 28 to 507 of the family's 1533-position model. The record is from RNAcentral.
GACGAACGCUGGCGGCGUGCUUAACACAUGCAAGUCGAACGGAAAGGCCCUGCUUUUGUUGGGUGCUCGAGUGGCGAACGGGUGAGUAACACGUGAGUAACCUGCCCUUGACUUUGGGAUAACUCCAGGAAAAUGGGGAUAAUACCGGAUAGGAUCUCCUGCUGCAUGUGGGGGGUUGGAAAGUUUCGGCGGUUGGGGAUGGACUCGCGGGUUAUCAGCUUGUUGGUGGGGUAGUGGCUUACCAAGGCUUUGACGGGUAGCCGGCCUGAGAGGGUGACCGGCCACAUUGGGACUGAGAUACGGCCCAGACUCCUACGGGAGGCAGCAGUGGGGAAUAUUGCACAAUGGGCGGAAGCCUGAUGCAGCAACGCCGCGUGCGGGAUGACGGCCUUCGGGUUGUAAACCGCUUUCGCCUGUGACGAAGCGUGAGUGACGGUAAUGGGUAAAGAAGCACCGGCUAACUACGUG